ACCUUCAACAAUAUAUUAUCAUUAGCUAAAUUAUUUUCAUCAAUUAGUGAGUUUACACAGGCAACAAACAAGUAGCUUCUAAUCUUAUUAAGUUUUACACAGCCAACAACCACAAAGUUUCCUAUCAUCUUAUUCUAUCUUUUCAGUUUCACUGUUAUUUAAAUAGCACGGCUACACUAUUUCAGUGACAUGCUAAUGGUUGAUGGCAUUCCAAGUUCAUAUUCAUGCCGUAGCUGCUUCUGCAUUUCGUUUGGCUUCAAGUGUCUUCUCGUAUUCCUCAAUAGACUUGAAUAGCUCUGAAAAGUUUCCCUUCCCAAAACCUCCGCAUCCACCCUUCUGGUAUUCUUUCCCCGUCUCAUCCUUUAUCAUGCAGCCUACCCUUUGAAUUAUCUCUAUAAAGAUGGUUGGCCUAUCGCCAACAGGCUUAGUGAAAAUCUGGAGCAAGGUCCCCUGAUCAUCC
RNAcentral lists this unclassified non-coding RNA (460 nucleotides) under Hevea brasiliensis (rubber tree). The record is from RNAcentral. Lineage: Eukaryota; Viridiplantae; Streptophyta; Magnoliopsida; Malpighiales; Euphorbiaceae.